Haliotis rubra (blacklip abalone) is the source of this 397-nucleotide long non-coding RNA. RefSeq lists it as uncharacterized. NCBI's taxonomy places the organism in Eukaryota, Metazoa, Mollusca, Gastropoda, Lepetellida, Haliotidae. The transcript is spliced from 4 exons. The record is from RefSeq and is a predicted model, not a curated record.
CAUGGACACAGGUGGUCAAUCUCUGUGUACACAUGGACACAGGUGGUCAAUCUCUGUGUACACAUGGCCACAGGUGGUCAAUCUCUGUGUACCCCACCUGAAGGGUACACAUAGUCACAGGUGGCCAAUCUCUGUGUACCCCACCUGAAGGAUACACAUGGCCACAGGUGGUCAAUCUCUGUGUACCCCACCUGAAGGGUACACAUGGCCACAGGUGGUCAAUCUCUGUGUACCCCACCUGAAGGAUACACAUGGCCACAGGUGGUCAAUCUCUGUGUACCCCACCUGAAGGAUACACAUGGCCACAGGUGGUCAAUCUCUGUGUACCCCACCUGAAGGGUACACAUGGCCACAGGUGCAUUAGCUGGGACUAGUAUCAUUCCAGUCAGACAUGAUG